UUCAUGGUGUACUCCGAGCUUGCUCUCGCUCCGGAAGUUGAUUCGUGGGAAGGGAGGAACGGGGUGUGCGUGCAGAAAAUACAGGGGGUGUAUUAUAAAAUUUCCGAACAUGGGAAAUCUUGUGAUGAUUUACCGUACCUUUGGCGCGAAUCCGACCGUUUCUUCUGAUUUUUGGGCUUUUGGAGUCGAUGAAAUAGUUCUGGGCAUUAUUAAAGAGGGCUGACGAGGAGAUGGCCCAUAAAAUAAUUUUCGUUUUGGCCA
This 261-nucleotide long non-coding RNA is filed under the name Elaeis guineensis (African oil palm). RNAcentral's name for it is "long non-coding RNA (EGUI_LNC059153)". The record is from RNAcentral. Lineage: Eukaryota; Viridiplantae; Streptophyta; Magnoliopsida; Arecales; Arecaceae.